CGUAGCUGGUUUGUUAAGUCUCUGGGGAAAUCUUCCGGCUUAACCGGAAGGCGUCUCAGGGAUACUGGCAGACUAGGGACCGGAAGAGGUGAGAGGUACUCCAGGGGUAGGAGUGAAAUCCUGUAAUCCUUGGGGGACCACCUGUGGCGAAGGCGUCUCACCAGAACGGCUCCGACAGUGAGGGACGAAAGCUGGGGGAGCAAACCGGAUUAGAUACCCGGGUAGUCCCAGCCGUAAACGAUGUGCGUUAGGUGUAUCGGUGACCACGAGUCACCGAGGUGCCGAAGAGAAAUCGUGAAACGUACCGCCUGGGAAGUACGGUCGCAAGGCUGAAACUUAAAGGAAUUGGCGGGGGAGCACCACAACAGGUGGAGCCUGCGGUUUAAUCGGACUCAACGCCGGAAAACUCACCGGAUAAGACAGCUGAAUGAUAGUCGGGCUGAAGACUCUACUUGACUAGCUGAGAGGAGGUGCAUGGCCGUCGUCAGUUCGUAUG
Molecule: ribosomal RNA, 496 nt
Filed under: uncultured Methanomicrobiaceae archaeon
Lineage: Archaea; Methanobacteriati; Methanobacteriota; Methanomicrobia; Methanomicrobiales; Methanomicrobiaceae
Description: bacterial SSU rRNA
Rfam family: Archaeal small subunit ribosomal RNA
Source: RNAcentral